Molecule: ribosomal RNA, 253 nt
Filed under: uncultured bacterium
Lineage: Bacteria
Description: partial 16S ribosomal RNA
Rfam family: Bacterial small subunit ribosomal RNA
Source: RNAcentral
UACAGAGGGUGCAAGCGUUGUUCGGAAUCAUUGGGCGUAAAGGGCGUGUAGGCGGUUUGUUAAGUCAUGUGUGAAAUCCCUCGGCUCAACCGGGGAACGACGCAGGAAACUGACAAGCUAGAGUACCAAAGAGGGGGGUGGAAUUCCCGGUGUAGCGGUGAAAUGCGUAGAGAUCGGGAGGAACACCAGUGGCGAAGGCGACCUGCUGGGCCAGUACCGACGCUGAGGUGCGAAAGCGUGGGGAGCGAACCGG